AGAAUCAACGCUGGCGGCGUGCCUAACACAUGCAAGUCGAACGAGAAAGUGGAGCAAUCCAUGAGUAAAGUGGCGACCGGGUGAGUAACACGUGACUAACCUACCUUCGAGUGGGGGAUAACCUCGGGAAACCGAGGCUAAUACCGCAUAACAUCGUGAGAUCAAAGCAGUAAUGCGCUGGAAGAGGGGGUCGCGGCUGAUUAGCUAGUUGGCGGGGUAAUGGCCCACCAAGGCGAAGAUCGGUA
This 245-nucleotide ribosomal RNA is filed under the name uncultured bacterium. RNAcentral describes it as "partial small subunit ribosomal RNA". It matches the Rfam family "Bacterial small subunit ribosomal RNA", at positions 26 to 285 of the family's 1533-position model. The record is from RNAcentral.